Molecule: long non-coding RNA, 362 nt
Organism: Apodemus sylvaticus (European woodmouse)
Lineage: Eukaryota; Metazoa; Chordata; Mammalia; Rodentia; Muridae
Exons: 3
Source: RefSeq, a predicted model, not a curated record
GAGGCCUGAGAGUAACAGAAGAGCCGAUGAUGAGGAGGGUCUGUCCUUCGAAGAAAGGCUCCAAAAGCUUCCCAUGACAUCUAUUGACAAAAGUCUUCAGAGUGAAGGGGCUGUGUUCCAGAUUCAGAAUUGUUAGUUCAGAGAGACUCCUGCAAAAUCUUAGGUGGAAAGUAUUCCUAACCAUAAACUCUGGCAUCUAAACAGCACAAACUGAAGCCUUCUGAGUACUACAGUGACCAACAGUGGAAAUUGCUACAUGUGCCCUCAGAAAGAACACAGUAGGAGCACAGGUGCUUAAUAUUGUUAUAUAUCUUCAUGCAAGGAGGGCUAUAUAUAAAAAAUAAAACUGAUUUUGGCUUAAA